AGAGUUUGAUCCUGGCUCAGGACGAACGCUGGCGGCGUGGAUUAGGCAUGCAAGUCGAACGGUAUGGUGCUUUCGGGCAUCAGAGAGUGGCGAACGGGUGAGUAACACGUAGGUGAUCUACCCUCAAGACGGGGACAACCCAGGGAAACUUGGGCUAAUACCGGAUGAUAGCAGCAGUGAUGUUGUUUAAAAGAUGGCUUUCGGGCUGUCGUUUGGGGAUGAGCCUGCGUCCUAUUAGCUAGUUGGUGUGGUAAAGGCACACCAAGGCGAUGAUAGGUAGGCGGCCUUAACGGGCGGUCGCCCACACUGGGAUUGAGAUACGGCCCAGACUCCUACGGGAGGCAGCAGUCGAGAAUAGUCUACAAUGGCCGGAAGGCUGAUAGUGCGACGCCGCGUGAACGAAGGAGCCCUUCGGGGUGUAAAGUUCUUUUCUAUACGAGCAGUACUAUAUAGGUGAAUAAUUUAUAUAGGGGGAUAGUAGUAUAGGAAUAAGCAACGGCUAACUCCGUGCCAGCAGCCGCGGUAACACGGGGGUUGCGAGCGUUGUCCGGAAUUACUAGGCGUAAAGGGCAGUCAGGCGGAUCUGCGAGUUUUUUGUUAAAGGCUACGGCUCAACCGUAGUAAGGCAGGAGAUACUGUAGAUCUGGAAUUUGGUAGAGGAAGACAGAAUUCCUGGUGUAGCGGUGGAAUGCGCAGAGAUCAGGAGGAAUACCGAAGGCGAAGGCAGUCUUCUGGGCCGAUAUUGACGCUUAACUGCGAAGGUGUGGGGAUCAAACAGGAUUAGAUACCCUGGUAGUCCACACAGUAAACGAUGAUCACUAGAUGUCGGGUUCGAUAGGGAUUCGGUAUCGUAGCAAACGCGGUAAGUGAUUCGCCUGGGGAGUACGAUCGCAAGGUUGAAACUCAAAUGAAUUGACGG
Molecule: ribosomal RNA, 919 nt
Filed under: uncultured bacterium
Lineage: Bacteria
Description: bacterial SSU rRNA
Rfam family: Bacterial small subunit ribosomal RNA
Source: RNAcentral